CCUACGGGUGGCUGCAGUGGGGGAUAUUGCACAAUGGGGGAAACCCUGAUGCAGCGACGCCGCGUGAGUGAAGAAGUAUUUCGGUAUGUAAAGCUCUAUCAGCAGGGAAGAAAAUGACAGUACCUGUCCAAGAAGCCCCGGCUAACUACGUGCCAGCAGCCGCGGUAAUACGUAGGGUGCGAGCGUUAAUCGGAAUUACUGGGCGUAACGCGCUCGUAGGCGGUAUGUCAAGUCAAGGGGGAAAUCCCCGGGCGCAACGUGGGAACUGCCGUUGAAACUGGCAAACUGGAGUGUGUGAGAGGAUAGUGGAAUUCGAGGUGUAGGGGUGAAAUGCGUAGAUAUCUGGAAGAACAUCAGUGGCGAAGGCGACUAUCUGGCACAUAACUGACGCUGAGGAGCGAAAGCGUGGGUAGCAAACAGGAUUAGAUACCCUGGUAGUC
Molecule: ribosomal RNA, 440 nt
Filed under: uncultured bacterium
Lineage: Bacteria
Description: partial 16S ribosomal RNA
Rfam family: Bacterial small subunit ribosomal RNA
Source: RNAcentral